UGUGGAUGGAAAGGCGUGAGCGGUUGUCGAUGCUUGUACGGAGCCGUAAGGACUCAAAUUUAUCGGAGCCAGGGAAAAAAUGAGAGGGGACAGUGGUAGGAUGGGGCCACGAAAGGUGCAGGAGGCAGUUGCAUGGGGUGCGGAAGGCGCGAGAGGCGCCCAGGGCCAGGAAGGAGAGGCAUGGGGGGUUCAUAGUGCUGGAGCCAGGAGAGAGAAGGGGAGGAGGUUUGGUGGUCGUGCGGAGCUGGGUGCGGCUCAAAUGAUGAGUGUAGCACGAACGGCGGU
This 285-nucleotide long non-coding RNA is filed under the name Elaeis guineensis (African oil palm). Its description in RNAcentral is "long non-coding RNA (EGUI_LNC001203)". The record is from RNAcentral. Lineage: Eukaryota; Viridiplantae; Streptophyta; Magnoliopsida; Arecales; Arecaceae.